RNAcentral lists this ribosomal RNA (104 nucleotides) under Pogona vitticeps (central bearded dragon). The record is from RNAcentral. Lineage: Eukaryota; Metazoa; Chordata; Lepidosauria; Squamata; Agamidae.
AUAUUCUACCAUAUCAUCCUGAAGGCACCAAUCUCAUCUGAUUUGGGGAGCUAAGCAGGGUCUGGUCCGGUGACUAAUUAAAUGGGAGAUGACCAAGGAAUACU